ACCUUUCGAAAAACAGGGUGCGUCGCGGCCCCCUCCGGGGGCGGUUUGGGGUCCUCCCCUUCACGCGCGCACGACUGCAUCCUUACUUUACGAGCACCUUCUGUUCUCCCUCGGCGGGGCAACCUGCCGUUGGAACCGAAUAAACCCUUUUUUGCAUCCAGCAUUACCCGUUCCGAAACAAACAAUCGUUA
Molecule: unclassified non-coding RNA, 191 nt
Filed under: soil metagenome
Description: partial internal transcribed spacer 1
Source: RNAcentral